AACGAACGCUGGCGGCAUGCCUAACACAUGCAAGUCGAACGAGACCUUCGGGUCUAGUGGCGCACGGGUGCGUAACGCGUGGGAACCUGCCCUUAGGUUCAGAAUAACUCCCCGAAAGGGGUGCUAAUACCGGAUAAUGUCUUCGGACCAAAGAUUUAUCGCCUUUGGAUGGGCCCGCGUUGGAUUAGCUAGUUGGUAGGGUAAAAGCCUACCAAGGCGACGAUCCAUAGCUGGUCUGAGGGGAUGAUCAGCCACACUGGGACUGAGACACGGCCCAGACUCCUACGGGAGGCAGCAGUGGGGAAUAUUGGACAAUGGGCGAAAGCCUGAUCCAGCAAUGCCGCGUGAGUGAUGAAGGCCUUAGGGUUGUAAAGCUCUUUUACCCGGGAUGAUAAUGACAGCACCGGGAGAAUAAGCUCCGGCUAACUCCGU
This 432-nucleotide ribosomal RNA is filed under the name uncultured bacterium. RNAcentral describes it as "partial 16S ribosomal RNA". It matches the Rfam family "Bacterial small subunit ribosomal RNA", at positions 29 to 506 of the family's 1533-position model. The record is from RNAcentral.